Molecule: ribosomal RNA, 401 nt
Filed under: uncultured bacterium
Lineage: Bacteria
Description: bacterial SSU rRNA
Rfam family: Bacterial small subunit ribosomal RNA
Source: RNAcentral
GGGGAAUCUUGCACAAUGGGGGCAACCCUGAUGCAGCGACGCCGCGUGAGCGAUGAAGCCCUUCGGGGCGUAAAGCUCUUUCGACCGGAACGAUAAUGACGGUACCGGGAGAAGAAGCUGCGGCUAACUACGUGCCAGCAGCCGCGGUAAUACGUAGGCAGCAAGCGUUGUUCGGAGUUACUGGGCGUAAAGAGUGCGCAGGCGGUUUUCUAAGUUCGGUGUGAAAUCUCCCGGCUUAACUGGGAGGGUGCGCCGAAGACUGGGAAGCUGGAGUGUGGGAAAGGCAGGCGGAAUUCCUGGUGUAGCGGUGAAAUGCGUAGAUAUCAGGAGGAACACCGGCGGUGUAGACGGCUUGCUAGACCAUAACUGACGCUGAGGCACGAAAGCGUGGGUAGCAAACA